AGAGUUUGAUCAUGGCUCAGAUUGAACGCUGGCGGCAGGCCUAACACAUGCAAGUCGAGCGGAAACGAUCCUAGCUUGCUAGGAGGCGUCGAGCGGCGGACGGGUGAGUAACACGUGAGAAUCUGCCCAUUAGUGGGGGAUAACCUGGGGAAACCCAGGCUAAUACCGCAUAAUCUCUACGGAGGAAAGCAGGGGAUCUUCGGACCUUGUGCUGAUGGAUGAGCUCGCGUCGGAUUAGCUUGUUGGUGAGGUAAUGGCUCACCAAGGCGACGAUCCGUAGCUGGUCUUAGAGGAUGAUCAGCCACACCGGGACUGAGACACGGCCCGGACUCCUACGGGAGGCAGCAGUGGGGAAUCUUGGACAAUGGGGGCAACCCUGAUCCAGCCAUGCCGCGUGUGUGAAGAAGGCCUUCGGGUUGUAAAGCACUUUCAGUAGGGAGGAAGGCUUAUCCUUAAUACGGAUGAGUACUUGACGUUACCUACAGAAGAAGCACCGGCUAAUUUCGUGCCAGCAGCCGCGGUAAUACGAAAGGUGCGAGCGUUAAUCGGAAUUACUGGGCGUAAAGCGCGCGUAGGCGGUUUGCUAAGUCAGAUGUGAAAGCCCCGGGCUCAACCUGGGAACUGCAUUUGAAACUGGCAGGCUAGAAUGC
Molecule: ribosomal RNA, 650 nt
Filed under: uncultured bacterium
Lineage: Bacteria
Description: bacterial SSU rRNA
Rfam family: Bacterial small subunit ribosomal RNA
Source: RNAcentral